CCGACGGUGAGGGACGAAAGCUGGGGGAGCAAACCGGAUUAGAUACCCGGGUAGUCCCAGCUGUAAACGAUGCGCGUUAGGUGUGUCAGUGACCACGUGUCACUGAUGUGCCGAAGGGAAACCGUGAAACGCGCCGCCUGGGGAGUACGGUCGCAAGGCUGAAACUUAAAGGAAUUGGCGGGGGAGCACCACAACGGGUGAAGCCUGCGGUUUAAUCGGACUCAACGCCGGAAAUCUCACCGGAUAA
This 247-nucleotide ribosomal RNA is filed under the name uncultured archaeon. RNAcentral describes it as "partial 16S ribosomal RNA". It matches the Rfam family "Archaeal small subunit ribosomal RNA", at positions 691 to 937 of the family's 1478-position model. The record is from RNAcentral.